This 443-nucleotide ribosomal RNA is filed under the name uncultured bacterium. RNAcentral's name for it is "partial 16S ribosomal RNA". It matches the Rfam family "Bacterial small subunit ribosomal RNA", at positions 338 to 795 of the family's 1533-position model. The record is from RNAcentral.
CCUACGGGAGGCAGCAGUGGGGAAUAUUGGACAAUGGGGGGAACCCUGAUCCAGCGACGCCGCGUGAGUGAAGAAGUUUUUCGGUAUGUAAAGCUCUAUCAGCAGGGAAGAAAGACAUGACGGUACCUGACUAAUAAGCCCCGGCUAACUACGUGCCAGCAGCCGCGGUAAUACGUAGGGGGCAAGCGUUAUCCGGAUUUACUGGGCGUAAAGGGAGCGUAGACGGCGAUGCAAGUCUGAAGUGAAAGGCGGGGGCUCAACCCCUGGACUGCUUUGGAAACUGUAUGGCUGGAGUGCAGGAGAGGUAAGUGGAAUUCCUAGUGUAGCGGUGAAAUGCGUAGAUAUUAGGAGGAACACCAGUGGCGAAGGCGGGUUACUGGACUGUAACUGACGUUGAGGCUCGAAAGCGUGGGGAGCAAACAGGAUUAGAUACCCCAGUAGUC